GACGAACGCUGGCGGCGUGCUUAACACAUGCAAGUCGAACGGAAAGGCCCUGCUUUUGUGGGGUGCUCGAGUGGCGAACGGGUGAGUAACACGUGAGUAACCUGCCCUUGACUUUGGGAUAACUUCAGGAAACUGGGGCUAAUACCGGAUAGGAGCUCCUGCUGCAUGGUGGGGGUUGGAAAGUUUCGGCGGUUGGGGAUGGACUCGCGGCUUAUCAGCUUGUUGGUGGGGUAGUGGCUUACCAAGGCUUUGACGGGUAGCCGGCCUGAGAGGGUGACCGGCCACAUUGGGACUGAGAUACGGCCCAGACUCCUACGGGAGGCAGCAGUGGGGAAUAUUGCACAAGGGGCGGAAGCCUGAGGCAGCAACGCCGCGUGCGGGAUGACGGCCUUCGGGUUGGAAACCGCUUUCGCCUGUGACGAAGCGUGAGUGACGGUAAUGGGGAAAGAAGCACCGGCUAACUACGU
This 467-nucleotide ribosomal RNA is filed under the name uncultured bacterium. RNAcentral's name for it is "partial 16S ribosomal RNA". It matches the Rfam family "Bacterial small subunit ribosomal RNA", at positions 28 to 506 of the family's 1533-position model. The record is from RNAcentral.